Molecule: unclassified non-coding RNA, 265 nt
Filed under: Basidiomycota sp.
Lineage: Eukaryota; Fungi; Basidiomycota
Description: partial contains small subunit ribosomal RNA, internal transcribed spacer 1, and 5.8S ribosomal RNA
Rfam family: Eukaryotic small subunit ribosomal RNA (bases 1-47)
Source: RNAcentral
AAAGUCGUAACAAGGUUUCCGUAGGUGAACCUGCGGAAGGAUCAUUAACGAAUUUAACAGAGGUUGUGCUGGUUCUUACAAGUGCACGCCUCUUUCAAUUCCAUUCACACCCCAUGUGCACUUAAGAGACGUAUCUCCCCCGUUUACGUGCCUUUAUUGGCUUGGGAUUUCGUCUGUUUCACACACACUAUUUGUAUCAGAAUGUAACUCGGCGGAUACGCCUAAACUUUUAAUAUAACUUUCAACAACGGAUCUCUUGGUUCUC